GGUAGCUGUUCUGAAUUCUGAUGAGCAAUGAAGAAAAUUUCAAAUCUGAAAAGUUUUCAAGACAAUGAGAUAUCUACAGGCAAGUAUCUUCAGUUUUAAUGAAGAUCAACUGUGACAAAGCUACAUGGAGUAAUGGAAGUACCAGAGAGAAAUCGCUUUUUGAAAACAGAAAGCUUUUUAAAAAGUCACAACAGAACUGGGAGAGCCACAAGAGCUAGAAAUCAAUUUUUAAAUUUGAUGGAUCCUUCAAAGAUUAAAGAGGCUAUGGAAAGCCUGUGGUAUAGGUGUGCUUUGAAGUGGAGAAUGUACCUGCAUGUCACUGAUGCAGAAAGUAAAACACUGCUGUAAGCCUGCAGAGUGCUUCUAUUUGUUAUGAGAACACCAGCUCCUUGGUGGAGACUUAAUGAAGCAGUAAAGCUGGAAGGUGGCUCCUGUGAGUGCUGUUUCACCCUCACAGGGACAGUCCUGCGGGCUGCUGGCAGCGUGCCCAGUGUGGAUGUAAUUGGCCUCAGACUCCACAUCUAAUCCCAACCCAGAGUUUCUCGAUUACAUCCUCAGGGACUGUCAGCAGCAUGAUAAUACUCAAGAGCUUUGUCCUGAAAGCUGGUGUCUUUUUUCUUUUGCUGAGGAAUGAGUGCAAUUUAGGAAGGCAAAGCAAAAUUAUCACGCCAGCUAGCUUUUAAAUGUGUUCAUGUGAGAGUGUUUAUUCAUAUCAUCUUCUUGGCACGUUAGAUGCACAGACUCUAUGUCUACUUUUUGUAGUUCCCAUGAGUAUUUCUCAGCUUCUAGAUUUGGAUGCACACUACUGCAAAAACUCAGAUCUGUAGAUUUUGGGGCAAUCAUCCCUCCAUUCAAUGGAAACAAGUGCCCAGUCCUUUGAAGGCAGCCAGGGCAUGCUCUGGUCCCCAUCUGUGGCUGAGAUGUGAUUGUCCAAUGAAAGGUGAUAUUUUACUUUUACACCAAGGCAAGUUAAAAUAUUUUUGAAAGCAAAACAGACCACAAUAAAAGAAAUAAUAAGACUAAAGUCUGUCCCAGCACUAUUGCUGAGUAGGAAGGCAAAAGAGUUGUUAUAGCAACAGAUGAAGGAGGUAUUUUAUAACAA
This is a long non-coding RNA of Cygnus olor (mute swan), 1102 nucleotides long. RefSeq lists it as uncharacterized. The transcript is spliced from 3 exons. NCBI's taxonomy places the organism in Eukaryota, Metazoa, Chordata, Aves, Anseriformes, Anatidae. The record is from RefSeq and is a predicted model, not a curated record.